CUUCUUGGCGAAGAAUAAAGCUGUUGAGUUGCAGAGACAGUUCCGACCAGUCUCGGUGUAAGUGAGAAAAGGUCUACGGAAACAAAAUCUUUCAGUCUGGAAAUUUGUCAGUGUUGGUGCAGUCUACGUUUGCGACCAGUCUGGAGACGAAGCUAAUUUGAUUAAUCAGAUGGUGUCCGAUCGGAGUAAAACCGGUGGCUACGGAUAUAGGACAUCUAGGGCUACAUUCUUACUGGAGGGAUUGAAAAGUUAACGAUUUUCGGAGUUGCUGUGAUAGAGCCAUCAAGGGCUAUUCUGUGCUUCUCAGGUUCUUUAGAACCCGUGGCAAAGAUGAGACUGACGAGCAGGAGUGAUUGCUAUUGGGCUGGUGCUUUGGGAAUUUUAUCUCUUUAAUUUUUCAGACUUGCGGUUUUUAUGAUUUUGUCGAUAUUUUCAGGUUUUAUUAUAUUAUCUGGAUUUACGACUUUGGAGUUGACUUUAGAGAAGUAAUAAAUGGAGAUUUCAGACUUUUUAUUUAUUUAUUUUAUUUCGAAAAAUACGGGUGUUACAUACACACACACAUCUUAAGCAAAAAAAAAAAAAAACACACACACACACGUCAACAUAAAUAACCACCAAAUUUCGCAGGCACACCACUAGUUAGUUAUGUUUAGACUUAGAAUGAAUGUGUUAACUUGCGUGUAUAAUUUGAUUUGUGAUCUCAUAAUCUAAUCUUCACAUAAUUAUUUCCUACAUGUUUGUACUAUAAUUCGUAAAAAUAUAUAUUUUAUUUUGUUAUAGCAAAUGUGCUCAUAAAAUAUAAGACUAAGCCAUUAAACUAAUAUAAAUGAUUCUACCACUGGUCUUUUUCACUUUGGUGAAAGAUGCGAAAGAUUGAAUCUAACAAAACAUCACAGGUUAAAGCAUAUUUUAACAUAGACUCAACACAAUAACUAAACUAGAACAUCAAGUUGAAAUGUAUCACAAGUUAAAAAACACCAGAUAGCUUCUUCAUCUUCUUCCAUCAGUCAUCGUCAGAGAAGGUUAUCCUCUUACC
Long non-coding RNA from Brassica napus (rape), 1036 nucleotides. RefSeq lists it as uncharacterized. The record is from RefSeq and is a predicted model, not a curated record. NCBI's taxonomy places the organism in Eukaryota, Viridiplantae, Streptophyta, Magnoliopsida, Brassicales, Brassicaceae. The transcript is spliced from 4 exons.